Molecule: long non-coding RNA, 486 nt
Organism: Medicago truncatula (barrel medic)
Lineage: Eukaryota; Viridiplantae; Streptophyta; Magnoliopsida; Fabales; Fabaceae
Exons: 2
Source: RefSeq, a predicted model, not a curated record
AUAUACCCACACACCCACUUGUCAAAAGAAAUGCACGAUCAUUGUCUAUAUAAACAUACUUGUAAAGAGUAUAUUGUAUAGAAAAGAUGGAAACAGCAAAGAUAUCUUCUGUUACGAUGGCAUUCUUGUUGGCUUUUUUAAUCAUUGCUUCAGAUAUGUGUAUGGAAUCACAAGCCAGAAGAGAAUACUGUAACAAAGAUAGUGAUUGUCACAAAGAAAAAAUACCAGAAUGUCACAUGUAUAUUGCAUGUGUUGCACAUGAGUGUCAAUGUGUUCAUCUUCAACCAGCCUUCACUGAAGAAAUUCCUAUUCGAGCACCCUCGAUCAAACACUGAGUAAUGAGAUAACAUUGUGAAAUAAUAAUUGUGUUUGGUUGAGAUUAUUAAUAAUGUAUAAAAUAAUUAUAAAUGUUUGUUGUUGCAACAUAUUUUGUGUUCCAAUAUUAUGAAAUGAAAUAAAAUAGGUUCGGUUGGCUAUUUUAGUUUC